UGCCAGCCGCCGCGGUAAGACAGAGGGUGCAAACGUUGUUCGGAAUUACUGGGCGUAAAGCGCGUGUAGGCUGUCGUGCAAGUCGGAUGUGAAAGCCCUGGGCUCAACCCAGGAAGUGCACUCGAAACUGCAAGACUUGAAUCUCGGAGAGGGUAGCGGAAUUCUGGGUGUAGAGGUGAAAUUCGUAGAUAUCCAGAGGAACACCAGUGGCGAAGGCGGCUUUCUGGACCGAUACUGACGCUGAGACGCGAAAGCGUGGGGAGCAAACAGGAUUAGAUA
Molecule: ribosomal RNA, 279 nt
Filed under: uncultured bacterium
Lineage: Bacteria
Description: partial 16S ribosomal RNA
Rfam family: Bacterial small subunit ribosomal RNA
Source: RNAcentral